GGGGUUGACUGGAUUUGACGGCAAGAUGAAAUGGUACGUAAGCACGCGGAGCUGGGCUAUGGGAGGCUCCUUAAUCUCUUCUGUAGGAAAAUUAAUUGGCAACAAUGAGUAUGCUCUCGCUGCUUAAUCGAAGCACAGUAGAUUAUGAGCUUAAUUCCACUACAAGGUAGAGGAACGAGACGUCGCUCCGAGGAUGUUGUUCCGAAUCCGAAGAUCAAGCGGCGCAGGUUAAAUCGGAAAUAGUUCUUCAAGGCUCCGAUUGGGGAAUGAAACUUUAGGAGAUAAGGCCGUGAUUGGUGGCUUGGGUCUUGUCACGGCACGAAAACGAAGUCCAAGAUAAGCGUGUAGAAAGCGUAUGGUUUCCUUGUGCGGACGAGGGUUCGACUCCCUCCAGCUCCACU
This 401-nucleotide transfer-messenger RNA is filed under the name uncultured Prevotella sp. It matches the Rfam family "transfer-messenger RNA". Rfam says of the family: Bacterial tmRNA, also known as 10Sa RNA or SsrA, is named for its dual tRNA and mRNA-like properties. Its role is to liberate the mRNA from a stalled ribosome. The record is from RNAcentral. Lineage: Bacteria; Pseudomonadati; Bacteroidota; Bacteroidia; Bacteroidales; Prevotellaceae.